GGUAUUAUACUUUAUAUAGAAGAUAUGAUUUGCAAUCAUAAAGAAAGAAUUUAUUCUUUAACACCAUAA
Molecule: transfer RNA, 69 nt
Filed under: Loligo uyii
Lineage: Eukaryota; Metazoa; Mollusca; Cephalopoda; Myopsida; Loliginidae
Description: Loliolus uyii tRNA-Ala
Source: RNAcentral